GAUGAACGCUGGCGGCGUGCCUAAUACAUGCAAGUCGAGCGAACGGACGAGAAGCUUGCUUCUCUGAUGUUAGCGGCGGACGGGUGAGUAACACGUGGAUAACCUACCUAUCAGACUGGGAUAACUUCGGGAAACCGGAGCUAAUACCGGAUAAUAUUUUGAACCGCAUGGUUCAAAAGUGAAAGACGGUCUUGCUGUCACUUAUAGAUGGAUCCGCGCUGCAUUAGCUAGUUGGUAAGGUAACGGCUUACCAAGGCAACGAUGCAUAGCCGACCUGAGAGGGUGAUCGGCCACACUGGAACUGGGACACGGUCCAGACUCCUACGGGAGGCAGCAGUAGGGAAUCUUCCGCAAUGGGCGAAAGCCUGACGGAGCAACGCCGCGUGAGUGAUGAAGGUCUUCGGAUCGUAAAACUCUGUUAUUAGGGAAGAACAUAUGUGUAAGUAACUGUGCACAUCUUGACGGUACCGAAUCAGAAAGCCACGGCUAACUACGUG
RNAcentral lists this ribosomal RNA (497 nucleotides) under uncultured bacterium. RNAcentral's name for it is "partial 16S ribosomal RNA". It matches the Rfam family "Bacterial small subunit ribosomal RNA", at positions 28 to 507 of the family's 1533-position model. The record is from RNAcentral.